This 67-nucleotide transfer RNA is filed under the name Desmognathus orestes (Blue Ridge dusky salamander). Its description in RNAcentral is "tRNA-Cys". Lineage: Eukaryota; Metazoa; Chordata; Amphibia; Caudata; Plethodontidae. The record is from RNAcentral.
AAGCCCCGGUAGAAAUUAUUCUUACUCUUUAAAAUUUGCAAUUUUAUGUGCUAUACACUACAUGGCC